UGGACCUAGUGUAGAGAGGAACCUCCCC
Molecule: non-coding RNA, 28 nt
Filed under: Xenopus tropicalis (tropical clawed frog)
Lineage: Eukaryota; Metazoa; Chordata; Amphibia; Anura; Pipidae
Also listed under: 1 other name
Source: RNAcentral